Molecule: ribosomal RNA, 253 nt
Filed under: uncultured bacterium
Lineage: Bacteria
Description: partial 16S ribosomal RNA
Rfam family: Bacterial small subunit ribosomal RNA
Source: RNAcentral
GACGUAGGGCGCGAGCGUUGUCCGGAAUUAUUGGGCGUAAAGGGCGCGUAGGCGGCCUGGCAAGUGGAAGGUGAAAUCCCUCGGCUUAACCGAGGAACUGCCCUCCAAACUGCUUGGCUUGAGUCCGGGAGAGGUGAGUGGAAUUCCCAGUGUAGCGGUGAAAUGCGUAGAUAUUGGGAGGAACACCGGUGGCGAAGGCGGCUCACUGGGCCGGAACUGACGCUGAGGCGCGAAAGCGUGGGGAGCAAACGGG